RNAcentral lists this ribosomal RNA (253 nucleotides) under uncultured bacterium. Its description in RNAcentral is "partial 16S ribosomal RNA". It matches the Rfam family "Bacterial small subunit ribosomal RNA", at positions 524 to 776 of the family's 1533-position model. The record is from RNAcentral.
UACGUAGGUGGCAAGCGUUGUCCGGAUUUACUGGGCGUAAAGGGCGUGCAGGCGGUUUGUUAAGUGCAGGGUGAAAGCUCCCGGCUCAACUGGGAGAGGUCCUUGCAUACUGGCAGACUUGAGGGAGGCAGAGGAAAGUGGAAUUCCCGGUGUAGUGGUGAUAUGCGUAGAUAUCAGGAGGAACACCAAUGGCGAAGGCAGCUCGCUGGGACGGUACUGAGGCUGAGGCGCGAAAGCGUGGGGAGCAAACAGG